Zingiber officinale is the source of this 8521-nucleotide long non-coding RNA. RefSeq lists it as uncharacterized. The record is from RefSeq and is a predicted model, not a curated record. NCBI's taxonomy places the organism in Eukaryota, Viridiplantae, Streptophyta, Magnoliopsida, Zingiberales, Zingiberaceae. The transcript is spliced from 6 exons.
CUAAAAAUGUAAAGACGCGAUAAAGGCUUAUAGGUAGUUUUAGGUAUGUUGCUACCGCUGUUUUUCUUGGGGCCUAAAAUCGAAGUCUCGUUAGGGGAAUUCGUAACCUUCGGCAGCCUCUCUUCCCUCCGGCGAACGUUCACUGCGCUUAGGGUAGAGCAGGCGCAUCAACUCUCUUCUUCAUCUGCAUCGCCAAGCUACCCUUUGCUCAGCCGAUUCCCCUGCUAUUGGGUUCACCUGCAAGUAAUCCUCGCGCGCUGAUCUCUUCUCGCUAUCAGAAGGUGUCAGUUAAACUUCGAAUUGUAGAGCAAGUUUUCCUUUCAAUUCUGUCUAUUUCUGGUUCAGGAUAGAUUCUAAACAUCAGCCGUGUCUUUCAAGAGAAGAAUGUAAGUGAUCAAUAUAAUUGUUCGGAUAGAUGGGUGAAAUUAUUUCAUCUGCUGUAUGAUUUUAGAUGAGAAUAAUGGUGGAUUUAAGGUCAGUAACCCUCUUCUUUCGGUCAGAGAAUCUCCUGGAAUUUGAUUUCUAGGGUUUCUUUAGCUUGCAAAAUGUUACUUAUGUUUACUGACUGCGAUUGAAUUGUGAUGCCUUAUCUGAGGAAGGUCGAGGUGAGCGUCAUAAAGAAAACGUGUAAAUGUUAACCACAGAGUAAACACCUUGACUCUCCCAACCACACGCUAUCUGCUUGUCAAGUAUGCAUCAAGGAUGGCAAUCACUUCCUACUCUGGGAAGAAUAUGAAACAUGGGAAAGGGGGAAAAAAAAACUUUGUCCCAAGAAACAAAGGUAACAGUGAUCAAAGACUGCGAUUGAAUUGUGAUGCCUUAUCUGAGAAAGGUCGAGGUGAGCGUCAUAAAGAAAAUGUGUAAAUGUUAACCACAGAGUAAACACCUUGACUCUCCCAACCACACGCGAUCUGCUUGUCAAGCAUGCACCGAGGAUGGCAAUCACUUCCUACUCUGGGAAGAAUAUGAAACAUAGAAAAAGGGAAGAGGGGGGGGGGGGACUUUGUCCCAAGAAACAAAGGUAACAGUGAUCAAAGGUAUGCUCUACUGAAGCCCUGCCCUCAUCAACUCGACUUUUUGAUUUCUAGGGUUUCUUUAGAUUGGAAAAAAACUGUCCCAAGAAACAAAUGUAACAGUGAUCAAAGGUAUGCUCUACUGAAGCCCUCAUCAACUCGACUUUUUGAUCCACCUUAACAUGUUUUUCUGAUUUAGGCAUCAAAGGAUUGACAGCUAUCAAUGUUCAUCCUUAGUCCGCAAGCUAACAUUGUCCAAUAUGGGGAACCAACCAAACUUUUCCAGAUCUUCUCAUUGAAGAAUUUACUCCAGAACUAACAAACCCUGUGAUGCUGAAGCUAUAUUUCUCAUUGGUCGUGAAAUGUUGACUUUAUUUUAUGAUUUCUGUUAGGUAAAUUGACUUAUAUAUCUCAUCUUCAUCUUCCAAUCAUGUUGGUCCUAAAUAAUUGGGUGUGCCUCUAUUGAAACUUAUAUGGCUAGUAAUAUUUAGAUCUUCUAAAUCACUUUUAGUUGCACAUUUAUUUGUGUGAUUGUUAGGAAACAUGUAUUAAAAUUAAUUUAAUAGAGAUGGGAAUGUUAAGACGGUUACAUUACUGGAUAGGAUAAAAUAAAAGAUAUAAGAACAUGUUCAAAGGUGAUAAAAAAAGAUUCUAUAGGUAGAAAUAUUGAAUUGAUUAGAGUGGAAAUUGGAAGGGGUAGAGGGAGAACAAAAAAAAAUAGCUUAAUAAAAAAUGUGUUAAUUGAUUUAAGAAUGACUAGUGAUAUAGCAUUUCAUUGAGCUCAAUGGUAGGGACCGGAUAAGAUUCAUAUAGAAAACCCUAAAUAGUUGGUACACACACCGAUAAUGAUAGUCAUGCUGAGUUGUUUGUGACUCUUAAAGGGUCCCAUUACCCAUAUGUACAAGCCUCAAAUGGAUACGGGCUCUCUAUGCCUCAAAUGGAGACACUAGAGACAUUUUUCAAGUUCAUUUAUUCAAUAGUUGAUACCACUUUGGUAUCACUAACAUUAGAUACUUCAAUAUUGUCUGCAUAUUCAGGACAUGCAACAACAACAACAACAAUAACAACAAUCAAGUCAUAUAUUAUUAGGUGAGGUCGACUAUAUGGAUCCUUCUAUGUCAUUGGGCUCUAUCCCUUAUUAUAUAAUUAUCUAUAUUUAAAUAAAUUUAAUACUAUUUUUAUCAUUGUUAAUCAGGUCUUCUUUGGUCUUCCACUUCCUCCCUUAAUCUGCAUAUUUAUCAUAAUUUCACAUCGCUUAAUUAGAUCAUUUAUUGGUCGUUUAAGUGCAUAUCUGCAUCAUCUUAAAUAUGUUUCUCGGUGUUUUUCCUCAAUAGGUGCAAUCUUGACUUUCUAUAAUGUUUUCAUUUCUUAUCCUCUCCAUCAUAUGUCCGCACAUCUCCCUUAAUAUCCUUAUCUUUGCGACUCAUCUUCUGCUUGUAUGCUCGAGUCAUAGUCAAACAUUCAACUAUAUAUAACAUAGCAUAUCUAACUGUCAUUUUGUAGAAUUGCCCUUUAAGUUUUAGAGAUGUUUUACGAUUAGAAAGAAUAUCUCUCCUUCAUUUUAAUCAUCCUGCUUGUAUUCUAGGUAAGACAUUUCUUAAUCCCUUCAUUCUUUUGUAAAAACGAUCUUAAAUACUGAAAGCUCUCGGGUACAGAUAACUCAUCAUCUCCUUUUGUUCAAUACAUGCAAAGUUAAGAAACAUUCUGAAUUACUUCUUCUGUUGGUUUAACAAUUGCAAUUUUCAAAUGAGAUGGAGGUAACGAAAAUUAUAGAGACAGCCAUGACAUUCUACUUUACCUUCCCAAAAGAAAUUUCACUCCAAUGGUGUGCAAUAUCAAAAUUGCUGUGACAUUUUUAUUUUCUACAGAUGUGUUUUUGUUUGUUCUCUUGAGCAUUCCUUUCCCUAUCUGAGGUACCUGAUGAAAUAUUUUAUAUGCUUUCCUUUUAGUGGGAUUGAGGGAAAAUUGAUUUGAUUUUGACAUCUUCUCUUGCUAGAGCUUGGCAUUUACAGUGUUAGUGGGUAAUGGAGGUGAAAUAGGAAUGCUGAGAUGGAGUAUAGUCCUCCCUUUCAGAAGCACUCACAUAACUUAUUGCACAUUGUAGGUAGGGACUAGAAUGUUUUUUUUUUUUCAAGGUUGAAUAAGUUAUAUAGGAAUAUUUUCACCUGAACUUUCUUUUUCUUCUACAAUUGAGACAAGUAAUGCAAAGUUAAUGGUCUGAUCUAUUGUGAAAAAAGUCCAAGAUAACUAAACCAAUCUAUAUGUAAUGCAAACAAGGAGUCAAAGUUUUGAAAAGUUUUAGAUGAUUCAUAAGGAAUUGACUUAAAUUUUGAUUUUGGAAUUUGAUUUCUAGGGUUUCUUUAAUGAUUCAAAAGAAAGCUUGAAUUGAUUUUGGUGUUGCAUCAAUAUGUUUUUUCUUACUAACAAUGGGAAUGACUUUUACUAUUAAACAAGCAUGUAUGGGUGCUUAUUUCUUGUUCUUUAACGUCAUGCAAAGUGAGAACCUUGUGGCAAUUUUGGCAAGUCACUUGAGUUUUAGGUAAUUGAAUGAAAUAAAUAUUUUCAUAAACUCACCACUUUGAAGAGAGGAAAUAAGAUGUGGUCAUCAGGUUACUCUACCUAGACCAGCAGAAUAGAGUUGGGUGUGAGAAUUAGUGACAAAGUCAUCCAAACUCAUCUGCUGCCAUGUUAUCAAAAGAAGAAAAGUAAAUUGCUUUCUUUUCUCUGUUUAUCUUGAAAAAAAUAUGCUGCUUAUAUUUCACCUGCCUUUUUGUCCUUUUUUCUCUCUUAUGACUUCUAGAAGUUAUUUGCUGAUUGAGCUUUAUAAAACUAGCAAAUCUUAUUCUAUAAGAUCAGGCACGAUAUAUGAAAGUGUAAGUAUCCCGGGUUAGUUUUGAUGUUGAUCAACCAAGUUAAGUUAGGCCAUGUGUGUUUGAUGUCUUAUGUCUAAGUGUGCAGGAACUUAGGAACAAAGAAAUCGAAUGGAAGACGCAGCGAGUGAGAAGGAUGACACGAGAAGAGAGUCGACGAGUUUGGUGCAUCCGAGGGACGAAAAGUUGUGGAAGAGUACACUAGUGGAGCGAGAAGGACGCGCGAGGCGUAUCUGAGGGAUGAGUAGCCAUGAGGAAAACUACUCGAGGAGAAGGUCGGAGUUGGGUUCGAGUGAGCUCAAUUCUGGAUGGUCAGACCAUCACCUAAGGGAGUGGAGUCAGAAAAUGGUCACCUCGAAAGUUGACCAUUCGAGGCAUCUCCGAUUGAACGGAGUCACCCUGAUGACUUGAGGACUCGAGGUGCCUUAGAUUGCUUGAGGCGCCUCGAAUGGCUAAAGAAGUUGUUGUCGCACGGGACUCGAGGCGCCUCGGUUCAAGAUUGCUUGAGGUGCCUCGAAUGGCUAAAGAAGUUGUUGUCGCACGGGACUCGAGGCGCCUCCAAUGAACCGAGGCACCUCCAAAGAGUUGGAGCCGUUGCCGAAGGGAUAAGCCGUGGACUUUAGCUCAGCCUAACCAAAGUGCCUCCAACAUGCCAGAACAGUUGAACGUUGGCAGCAAUAAGGAUAAAGUUUAUCCAGUUGGAGGCGCCUCCAAGCAUUCGAGGCGCCUCCGAAGUGCCACAUCAGCAACGGUCACUUUUGAUCAAUGGAUUAUAAAUAGAGCCCUAAAGCCAGUUCUAAUGCAAAACACUCUGUAUUCAAUUUUGUAAUUGGUUUUGCGCUUUCAAAUGUUGUAAGGGGCUACUCCGCCUCCGACUUUGUAGAAGAAGGAGCUUGAUAAUGCAUUCCAAAGUUUUGGAUUAAUAACCACCCAGGUUAUAAUCAAGUAAACUUCUGCCUCUUAUUUUAAUCUAUGUUAUUGUUGUUUUUAAUUAAUUAGUGUGUCCUUGCUAAAUAAGUAGCAAGAAAAGUUGUAAUUUCAAUUUGCAGGCUAUUCACCCCUCUAGCCGGUCCAACCGAUCCAACCGAAAGAUCUAGAAUAUAGAAGGAAACAUAAGAAGAGUAUGAUCAUAGUCUAAUUAUUUUUAAAUGAAGCUAUUUAUGAUUCCAUUUAGAAGUUUAUCCUUGGUUAUGGUAGUAUCAGUCUCCUUGAAUUCAUGUACUAGAAUCUGUUUUAUAAGAAUAAACUUUUUUUAUAUUAAUUUGGAUAACUUUCAUAGUCGUUAUUCUUUAUUUUUUGUGAAAUUUGGUUAUAAGAUGCAAAUGCAUACUUAUUAAAUUGCUUCCUCUAAUACUUAGGAACUUAGGAACAAAGAAAUCAAAUGGAAGACCCAGCGAGUGAGAAGGAUGACACGAGAAGAGAGUCGAUGAGCUCGGUGCAUCCGAGGGACGAAAAGUUGUGGAAGAGUACACCAGUGGAGCGAGAAGGAUGCGCGAGGCGUAUCCGAGGGAUGAGUAGCCAUGAGGAAAACUACUCGAGGAGAAAGUCGGAGUUGGGUUCGGGUGAGCUCAAUUCUGGAUGGUCAGACCAUCACCUAAGGGAGUGGAGUCAGAAAAUGGUCACCUCGAAAGUUGACCAUUCGAGACAUCUCCGAUUGAACGGAGUCACCCUGAUGACUUGAAGACUCGAGGUGCCUUAGAUUGCUUAAGGCGCCUCAAAUGGAUAAAGAAGUUGUUGUCGCACGGGACUCGAGGCGCCUCCGAUGAACUGAGGCACCUCCAAAGAGUUGGAGCCGUUGCCGAAGGGAUAAGUCGUGGAAUUCAGCUCAGCCUAACCAAAGUGCCUCCAACAUGCCAGAACAAUUGAACAUUGGCAACAAUAAGGAUAAAGUUUAUCCAGUUGGAGGCGCCUCCAAGCAUUCGAGGCGCCUCCGAAGUGCCACGUCAGCAACGGUCACUUUUGAUCAAUGGACUAUAAAUAGAGCCCUAAAGCCAGUUGUAAUGCAAAACACUCUGUAUUCAAUUUUGUAAUUGGUUUUGUGCUUUCAACUGUUGUAAGGGGCUACUCCGCCUCCGACUUUGUCGAAGAAGGAGCUUGAUAAUGCAUUCCAAAGUUUUGGAUUAACAACCACCCAGGUUAUAACCAAGUAAACUUCUGCCUCUUAUUUUAAUCUAUGUUAUUGUUGUUUUUAAUUAAUUAGUGUGUCCUUGCUAAGUAAGUAGCAAGAAAAGUUGUAAUUUCAAUUUGCAGGCUAUUCACUCCUUCUAGCCGGUCCAACCGAUCCAACCGAAAGAUCUAGAAUAUAGAAGGAAACAUAAGAAGACUGCUGCCUUCACAUUGUACCAUGAUGGAAAUAACACCCUUUUACAGAUAAAGAUCCCUACUGAAAUUAUGAGGCAUCUCAUAGCCAAGAUUAUGAAGUUUCCUAUGUGGAACAAGCAUCUUUAUCCUCAAGAUCACGAAGAACCUUUCUUUUGAUCAUUCUUUUUGCAGCUAAAGAUGGAAGAGUUUAUUACUAUUAUUAUUUAGAGGAAUCUGAAGAGUUACUAUUAUACUAUUCUUUUUUCAGCUAAAACUGCAAAGGAGGAGAAUAUGGUGACGGGAAUGUAUGCUGAUUCAUUUCAGUUGCAAUGCAAAUAGGCAUGUUAAAAUGUGGUAGAACUAUGCUGGAUGCAUAACAAAUUUUUCUCCACAGUUGACACAUGACGGGAAUGCUUGCAGAUUCGUUCCAUUUCCUUUAUUAUUAUUAUUAUUUUUUAAGGUUAGAUUCAUUUGUUCAUUCUUUGAACUGCAGAGUUUCUGAUGCCAAGUUAGAACUCAAUGUUACUCUGAGGAUGCAGGUGGACUAGUAAAGCCUUGUGAGUUCACAGAAACUCAAUCCAUUAUUGCCAGGUGCCAGAAUGCAAAAUUAAACAGACUUGCAUGCAUUGAAAAUUUACUACAAAAAAGGCCAGAGUUCACACACCAGCUUGCAUGAUCUACAUACAUACGUCUCAAAACUAUACAAACACAAAGUUAAUUAGCCAACGGUUGUCAGGCAUUCGAAGCUACCAGCUCUUGCAAAAGAGGACCUUAUUUCAUCCUGGCAUCGUCCAAUAGGAUUACCAUUUUCAAGCCCCCCUGAUGCUUUGCCUCUGCGUUUGCAAAUGCUUGUACAUUUUUCACAAACAAAUCUUGCAGGCGGAUCCUCUGAAUCGUCAAUUCCAGCACACCUGGUGUGAUGCCAGACUCCGCAGACAUCACAGGCCAUCAUCCUCUCUCCAUCAUCAUCCUUGGCGCCACAAGAACAAUCAACAAUCCAGUUGUCCAACCCUCGUUCCUUUCGGUAUUGCCCAAGGUUUUGGUUGUUGCCAUCGCAUCUUCCUCUGAUCUGAACCAUCCCACGUGAGCCGAACAGAGUCUUGAUUGGGGUCACAUCACUAGCAUCUUCAUAAUUGACUAGUUGCUCAACUUUAAACCUUUGGAAUAUCAAAUAAGUCUCUUGGAAUGCUUUUGUAACCAUCUUUUUUAGGUCAAAAAUGGUGGCUUCCACCGGCAUCACCAAGAGUUCUGGUGGUAGGACAAUGUAAUCAUCUGGAUAGUCAACAAGUUCAACAUGACACCAUAGAGCCAUGACAAAUGGAUUUGUCGGCAACAGGUUUAACACAGGCUCAUCAUAGUGCCUUAUAAGUUGCUUGCAGUCAAGAAGCUUAAAGGCAGAAUUGAGAGCAGCUUCUCUCACGGUUUUAGGCCUGUACGGCUGCAUGGUAAUUGGAUUGAGCAAACUGUCAUACAAGAAUCUAAGGUCAUGGACGAGCUGCCCUCUAGACAGUCUGGGAAGACAAGGAGUGGCAGUCAACUGGGAAUUUGUUGCUUCAAGCCUGAAAUUUACAAUGACACAAUGCCACUUAUUUCAGAUGUAACAGAAAGGAGCACGCUGCCAACUGCAAUAUGAUAGAGCUACAAGAUUUAUUUGAAAUUACCUGUAUUCAAUUGUCUUUGAAUCCAGAUUGUAGCGAGCAACUAUCGAUCCAUUACUGACUUGUUCUCCAACAAUAACCUUGAGACAAUAGUCAAGCAGUUCAGGUGGCUUGAUGGCAUGGCAUGAGGCCCGUCUAAGGGCACGCCAAGUCACCCAUUGAGGGCCCACAACAGCUCGAAGAAACUUAAUUACAGUUGCCUUAGCUAAGUCCACUUGAUCCCUCGACCAAGCACAAAGAGCUCCAACUGCAGCCACUUCUGCAGAUUUGUGUCCAGCAGGAGGAAAGUGUAGCAGCUGCAUGAGAUAGCAGAAAAGGUCUCUGAUGGUCAAUAGUUGACAGUCCGAGAGGCUACAAUACAAGCUAAUAGUGUUCUGCAGUUGUGUCCGGGGGAAUCUAGUGCCAGAAAGGAAGAUAGAAAGUUGCAGACUGGAAAGGGUGUCGACGGCCUUCUGAUAUGACUCGGCAGUCAGAGCAAAGCUGCCAGUGCCAAACUUAUACCCCCAAUUCCCGUACCAAGGAUGACCAACGGUGACAGCGUGGAGGAGGCGGUAGUCCAUCCCAUGUUUCUUGGAUAUAUCCAUGACGCUCACCUUCCUGUUAGAGAAAUAAUUUGGUCAUAUCCAGAUAGAUACAUGUAACAUAAAUCAAGGUAAUAAAUCAAUCUUCCACAUCAAAA